UCUCCGCCUGGGGAGUACGGUCGCAAGACUGAAACUCAAAGGAAUUGACGGGGGCCCGCACAAGCGGUGGAGCAUGUGGUUUAAUUCGAAGCAACGCGAAGAACCUUACCAGGUCUUGACAUCCUCUGACAACUCUAGAGAUAGAGCGUUCCCCUUCGGAGGACAAAGUGACGGGUGGUGCAUGUUUGUCCUCCUCUCGUGUCGAGAUAUGUUGGUUUAACUCCCACAACGAGCGCCCCUUUUGAUCUUAUUUGCCAACAUUUAGUUGGGCACUCUAAGGAGACUGCCGGUGACAAACCGGAGGAAGGUGGGGAUGACGUCAAAUCAUCAUGCCCCUUAUGACCUGGGCUACACACGUGCUACAAUGGAUGGUACAGAGGGCUGCAAGACCGCGAGG
This 397-nucleotide ribosomal RNA is filed under the name Priestia megaterium. RNAcentral's name for it is "bacterial SSU rRNA". It matches the Rfam family "Bacterial small subunit ribosomal RNA", at positions 866 to 1262 of the family's 1533-position model. The record is from RNAcentral. Lineage: Bacteria; Bacillati; Bacillota; Bacilli; Caryophanales; Bacillaceae.